UGCUGUGAAAUUUUUGAUAAGCUGAUAGAGCUGGUGGCUCCCUUCCCUCUGGUCGAAGAGGUGGAUUUGCAUGGGCGGAUGCUGCCUUUGAGGAAGUGGGUGAAAGGAAUGGAAAUGGACUAGAUUAGAGUCCAGUGCAGACAGACAGAGACUGCAGACAGAAUCUGAUGCGGCAGUUGGUGGAAGGAGGAUUCUGGGACGGUGGGGUAGAUGUGAUGCUCCGUUAACGGUUGGGGAACAGCACCUGACACAUAGAAAGGGAGAGAGCCAUUCGCUCACCUGUGAAUGCAGCAUGACAUCACUGUGGCACUACCAUCAACUGGCAGCUUGGGGAGCACGGGAAAUGGCCCACUUGAAAGGAUUCUGGGGUCCUCACGGCAGACAUCCAUGACAGAAUGUGAGGUCCUUGGGGCGAGUUCUGGGCUGUCUCCAUCACAGCCCUGCCUGCAGUGUCCAGCCCAAGGCCUGACCCAGAGGAGUCCUCAUCCCUUUCUAGGACCCCAUCUCCUUCAUCCAUACUCCCUGAGAGCAGCAGGAAGGAAGCAAAACAAAACAAGGAAACCAAGAGAGGCAUUUAAAAUAUUUGUCACAUAUUCCAAAAUAGUGAGAUGCAUUUUAAGCUUUCUUCAAAAGAAGAAUCGGACACCCUUGUUCUUGUAGCUGUGUCGACUGGAAAAGCUCUGAGACCUCUUACUUGUGUUUCUAGGCCGUUCUUCAAAGUACUGAACUAUCCCAGAAUGAUUUGUUUCUUUUCUAGGACAUGUGACAAGAAAAAAUAAAUUGUGAUGAUAACCGUCACCUCCUGCCCCUGUCCCUU
Equus caballus (horse) is the source of this 817-nucleotide non-coding RNA. Lineage: Eukaryota; Metazoa; Chordata; Mammalia; Perissodactyla; Equidae. The record is from RefSeq and is a predicted model, not a curated record.